ACUAUUCCAUGUUACUGCGCAUGUGCAGAUUGAUUCUUGAACAACACCUGAGGAAACAAACUUGGUAGCGUAGUUUGGAGAAAACUGAUACGGAGUUACCCCAGUGGACAGUGGAGUGGCAAGAGGAAGACAAGCACUUAAAAGAAUAAAGAAAUCAAAACUACAAAAGUACUUACAGCGAUGUGGGGCUCAAAGACAGAGUCGGACUCAUUCUCUUCCAGAACCAUGGCUGCCGGUGCUGCUGGAGACUUCCAAAAGCUUUGUAGUGCACAGGCUGCUUCUGUCCUACAGAGCCAAUAUUGGACGUCUACCAAGAAUGAACAAAGCAGCAUAGAUCACAACACUGUGUUCUUACUGUUUAUCUGUAUGCAUCUGAUUAUAGAGAGAUUCAUGUAUAGGAGCGCAAUUAGGCAUGAAUGAAGACUAGUUCAUUUCUCAACUGGUUUUGCUUGAAUUAUGACAAGGCCAUCACCACUUUUGUCAAACCAUUCAUUCAUUCAUUUUCUACCGCUUUU
Molecule: non-coding RNA, 515 nt
Organism: Doryrhamphus excisus (bluestripe pipefish)
Lineage: Eukaryota; Metazoa; Chordata; Actinopteri; Syngnathiformes; Syngnathidae
Source: RefSeq, a predicted model, not a curated record